Small nuclear RNA from Zalophus californianus (California sea lion), 103 nucleotides. The record is from Ensembl. Lineage: Eukaryota; Metazoa; Chordata; Mammalia; Carnivora; Otariidae.
CUGCUCACUUGGGCAGCACAUACACUGAAAUUGGAACAAUACAGAGAUUAGCAUGGCCCCAUGCAAGGAUGACACGUAAAUUUGUGAAGCAUUCCAUAUUUUA